This is a long non-coding RNA of Acanthochromis polyacanthus (spiny chromis), 4357 nucleotides long. RefSeq lists it as uncharacterized. The record is from RefSeq and is a predicted model, not a curated record. The transcript has 8 exons. Lineage: Eukaryota; Metazoa; Chordata; Actinopteri; Pomacentridae.
AGCUAGUAGCUCAGCUAGCGAAAAGUAUGCGGCAACUGCAUCCCCCACUUCAAAGUCCGCCCUAACGUGCUUUUUUCCCCACACUGACCGGCUCGGAUAGUCUCAACGAGUGUCCCACAACAUACGAGAGAUGAGAAGUGAACGAAAACCUCCACAUUACCUGGCGAUCACUCUUUGUUGUGGUCUGUAUCCAAAUCUCGCUAGAAAGCAAAUCUCGUUCCGAAAUCGCGCGAUAUCUCGCGCCCGGUGGGGGGAAACAGCUGUUUGCCUCAGGAGACGAGGAGAGAGACGAGUGGAGCGAUUUUGUGUUGGAUUACAGAACAGUUCGUUUUUUUCUAAACCUGGUAAAACUAAUGGGUCGUCAGUGCGCAUUUCUGAGUUGUAGCAACAGAAUGGUAUGCUACACUUCGCGCAGCUUUCACAGACUACAGUACUCGGAGAAGGAAAUGCUACAGUUGUGGCUAAACGUUUUACAAGUGGACCCUGAAACUCCAGUUGAUGCACUUCGACGUGCCGACUACAGAGUCUGCAGCGACCAUUUUGACCGGGAUGAUUACUGCAGAUCAAAGAGGCGAGCAAAUCCCAAACGCGUUUUUUUGAGGAAAAGUGCAGUUCCUAGAUGGGAGACACCAGCUGCAGGCGGAGUGCAGGACGCUGAUGGUGCUGACUGUUCACAAGCAACGGAAUUUGCUGCAGUUCCACAAUCCACUCGAGUAAAAAGUAGACACAGAGCAGAUGAAGAACCAUGUCCUAAACUGUCAUCUGGCUUGAAACUUAUUCUGUCAAGUCCUCAUCAGACCACACCUCGCAGCAAGCCUUCAUUAUCUGGAACAUAUCAUGCACUACCUCCCUCUUGGGCACAAUCCAUGGUAAGUUUAGCUGUGCUAACACCUUUUCUGAACAAUUCAACUAUCACCAUACAACUUCAACAUUCCUGGAAAGACAAUCAGUCAGUGCAUAUUGUUAUUGUGUGUACAACAGACUGUACCUGCACCAACUGCAGAUUUGACUGUCCCUCGCACAGAAACUGAACAUUUAUCACAUGUGAGUAGUAUGACUUUUAGUCAGCUUUGUAAAAGAAAAGAAGUGUCAAGAUUUUACAACUAUCCUGUUUCUUCAGACUCAACAGGAAGAUGCAGCAGAACCUGUUUUGAUUGACAUGAGCAUGACCUUCGAGGAAGGUUGAUGCUACAGGUACGGACCCAUACUUGUAGCAUCUGUACUAGAGGUACGGACCCGUACCCGUACCCGUAGCAUCUGUACUAGAGGUACGGACCGUUAAGGUCACUGAAGAGCUGGCGCCAGUUAACUACUAUUUGCUGCACAUUACAGGCAGUUUAUAUGAAUGACUCUGACGGCGAACAUUGUAUAAUUUAACCAAAAAUACAACGUCUCCUCUCACACUUUAGACAUUGCAGUUUUUACGCUUUUAGACGCCGUGUCUAGUCCAGUUCCUAUUAAUUAGUUUACCGCGUUCAGUGGUGAAAGCGGCUGACGAACUCCAUUGCAAAUGUUCCCAUUUAAUUUCGGACACUAAUUUACAAGAUAAAGUGAAGGAUGUCGGAUAUGAAGCAAACACUCGUGAAUGGUGAGGAGCAGCUCUUUAAUUCGGCAUGAAUUAAAAAAAAAACACAAACUCGAUUUACUGUGAUAUUGUGAGAUUUGUUUGUGGUUAUGUAACUUAGCCAUUCAACAGAGUCAGCUAACAUUAAAGUGACUGACGUGCAGUGUCUGUGUUGACAGACGUAGAAAAUACGUCAGGGUUUUGUUUAGGUUGUUAAUAUGUAAUAGUCUGUCGCUACUUUUGAAGGUAAAAAAAAUACUUGUAGUUUGCUGGCUGUUAGUUCUGCCAUUUGUUUUAUUUGCUGUUUGUGCUUUAUUAGAACAGGAUCACGUGAAUAAAAAGUUUUGCUAUUUUUAAUAGUAGUGCUGAUUUCAACCCCCAAAUCGCUGUCCGUGAAAAAGUCAGAUAAUGAUAUUUAUAAGACAUUAUGCAUGAUAGAAAAGAGAACAGCAGAUGACUGACAUGACAGGCUCGCCACGCAGAUUCACCUCGAAUCACGGAAGCGCCUUCAUCACUCGGAUUACCAAACCGGUUUAUUAAUAUUUAUGUACGUCGGAUUACCAGCCAAUCACAAAGCGCGUUCAUCAGCCGGCUCAUUAAUAUUCAUGUACGUCUCAUUAAUAUUUAUGAUAAGGGAAAGUGCCGUAUCCGUAGGCCACAGGCUACGGGUACGGGUCCGUAUCUGUAGACACUACCUUCGAGGAAAUGAGUAUUCAUGAUCCAACAGACAGCAGUUUUGCACCUCUCAGCACCACCUCAUCUUCUGCCACAGGAUCUGCUUCUGCCUCUGCCUCUGCCUCAGGUAGCCCCCCCUGGAGAUGCACCAAAAGGAUGGGCAGAGAAAAAAUGGCUGGUCAAUGAGUCAAAACUCAGGGAACUUUUUAAUAGGUGCAGCCAAUGUGGGUGUGCCAUCACUGAAAAGAAAGUGACAACAAGAUCAAGCCAAAAAAAAUAAAUAGAGUGGAACUUCCUGAAUGGACACUCAGGAAAGUGGGCAUCCAGCCCUGAUAGAAGAGGGAUGGCAGAAAAUAAUCUUUUUGUAUCUGCAGCUAUUCUUUUUACCGGAGCUACAUACACCACCAUUGCAGAGUGGGCUGGACAACUAAAUGUCCAAAUUCCAAAGCCAACUCAGUUUUAUGCCAUUCAGUCAACUUACCUCAUUCCAGUCAUCCAGUAUGCAUACAGAGACCAACAUGAAAAAAUCAUGGAGCGUCUCAGAACAUCUGGAAAGAAAAUUGAACUCUGUGGUGACGCAAGAUGUGAUAGCCCAGCAAAUAUUCAACGUACUCAUUCCAAGACGAUGACACAAAAGAAAUUCUGCAUUUUGAAUUGGCUCAGGUUACAGAGGCAUCCAGCUCGGUGGCAAUGGAGGGGAUGGGGUUCCAGAGAGGGCUGAACUACUUGCUACAUAUGGGUGUGGAUGUUGGUGUUAUGACAACAGACAGGUCGCCAUCUGUCAGAAAAAUCAUGAAGGAAACAUACAGCAACAUCCUCCAUGAAUUUGACCCGUGGCAUGUCAACAAAAGUGUGAAAAAGAAACUUGUGGCUGCUUCAAAGAAGACACAAAACAAAGAUCUGCAACCAUGGGUCAAAUCCAUCUGCAACCACCUUUACUGGUCAUGUAGCUCAUCUAAAGGUGAUCAAGAGGAUGUUGUGCGACGUUGGAAGAGCGUACUGCAUCACAUUUGUGGCGUGCAUAGAUGGGAGGAGGAUGGUGUUGAGUUCACCUGUCAUCAUCCAGCCCUGACCGAGGAUCAGCAGAGAAGGAAAAAAUGGCUUCAUGCAGAUUCAUCAGCUUUCCGUGCUCUCAAAGCAGUGGUAUUGGACAAGAAUCUCCUGCAUGAUUUGAGGCAGAUGGCACGUUUCAAGCACACUGGAUCUCUGGAGGUCUACCAUGCUUCAAUGUUGAAGUACACUGAAAGAGGCUGCACUUCGCAUAUGACUCCAUGAGGGCCCGUACACAGCUGGCAAUCAUGGAUCAUAAUGCCAACAUUGACAGACCACAGGCAAAAACAACGGAAGGAGAAUGCCGAUACAGAUAUUCAUUCUCAAAACAAAGUGCACAGUGGGCUGCAAGGCCCAUCUAUGAACAUACCAAGCAGACCUUCUGUAAUGACCUCAUGGAGCGUGUCUUGAAGAGAUGACACAACUGUUGUUUUUACAGAGCCUCUGCCCCGUCUCAAACCCCGCCGAAGACUUCUUCGUAACAUUGCUCCUGUUCCGAGGCCUACCAAAGCUGAUUUGCUUGCACGACAUAGUUCAAGGUUCAGACCUUGCUAAAGAGGAUCCAAUAUAAUGUUUAGGACAUUAUUCUUUAUGCUGCUUUGUGUGUGUACCAGGUUGAAAAUAAAGAGAUUGGAAAACAGUAGUUCUAAAAAUAAUUUAUUUUAGAUGAUUGACUAUUACAGUGAAGUAUAACAGAGAAAUGUAUGUGUGCAGAAUAAUUUACAUUAUCCCAAAGACGUCCUCUGUGUCGUUGAAACCAGCAUAAGUGCCAAUUGGAGAGGGGUACUUGUUUCUUAUAGCCACAACAACGCAGCCAGGCAACACUCUCCUAUUCCCACGACCAAGAUGCUCUCCUCUGAGCGCCCACUCCAGCACCACACGGUAAGCCACGAGUCUGCAUUGGCUGGAGAAGAGGAAAUAAUCAAUUUUCUAUGUGAAAAGUAUGACAAAAUAACAGUAAUUGCGCACACCAGAGACCUUUCGCAGUAAAUAAAGUACACAAACGUAAAUGGUCACAUACACACGUGGACAAAAUUGUUGGUACCCCUCAGUUAAAGAAGGAAAAAC